This is a long non-coding RNA of Zonotrichia albicollis (white-throated sparrow), 1390 nucleotides long. The record is from Ensembl. NCBI's taxonomy places the organism in Eukaryota, Metazoa, Chordata, Aves, Passeriformes, Passerellidae.
GCAAAGUUGAGCACAUAUUGAAGCUGAGUUUCUGUCUGUCCUCUAGAGACUGAAAUCAGUGGGGUAGCAUGUGAAGUCCCGUUGGUGAACAACAACAGUCGCUGAAUGUCUGCCAGUUGUUCUCCUCCCAUCAUUAGGAACCUGGAGAAGAUGAAUUGGUCUGUUGAUUCAGAGCAGAAGUCAGACACUGCUGUUCCCAGAGAAGAAUGUGCCCAAAACAGAAGAGCUGCUCACUUGGGAAGAACUGCCUUUUGUAGUAGCUGGCAGGUACAUGGUUUCUGUUAUCCACACAUGCAAAUCAGGGGCUGGAGCUGCUUUUACCAUAGUUGCUGGUGUGGGUUUAUUCACUGUCACUGCUAUACUUACCUCUACUGCUUCUCUUUUCUUUAAGUCACAGAGCCCAUCUGUGUCCCAAGGCUCAGGCUCCAUGAUCUUUUGCCCCAUGAAGAAGGACAGCUGUAUGACACUGACUCUGUGAAUCCUAUAUUACAAAGAGCAGCAUAAAGACUACUGACCAAAAACCCAUCUCCUAGUUCAUGUCUCACCUUCCACAUCCCCAGACCUUUUUGUAAGAGACUGUGAGCAUUCAAAGACCUAAGCAGUUGCUGAAGCUUCAUUUCCUACUUCAAAGUGCGUUGGGGGGACUACACUGUUACCCUCCUCUGCAAUCCCAGCCCAUUGUGUAGCUGGAAAUGCUCCUCAGCUGUGUCAGUGUGAUAGUACUAGGGAUGUACAGCAGAUCAGAGUAACUGGAGAGAGAUUAUUGUGAUUCCUGCACUUGUUUGAAGGGCUCAAGAGACCUGAUCUGCUUCCCAAUUUAGGAUGGUAGAAGCCUUUUAAGGGUUAAAUCUAGACAGGUGUUUGUGUCCCAUUUCCUGGGAAAGAGUUUGCAUUCCUUGGUUAGAGAGUUUAAUAUAUCCUAAGUACUGUCUGCUUCACUUCCCAUCCUAUUUCAGAAGAAAUGCAAACAUUUCCCUGCAUAUUAUCUUCAAGCAAUGGAGAGUAUUUGGAUGGGCUCCAUUAUGCAGCUUUAAUGGAGAAAGAAGUUCCUGGAAAAAAUGUAUUUGGUAUCUUCAUAUUGCUAUGCCAAGGCAGGAGUUGCCUCCAUCCCAUAGCCCUAAUCUAAAUAGCCAGCAGUCUCUGUGAGCUAGAAGCUAACUCGGCAGCUCUCCAUAAUCAUGUUUUGUAGAUAGUUUCCUGUUAUGGAGAGCAGGCCUGAGUGCAAAUACAACAAAGCUAGAAGGGCCUUUUGGGGUUGUUUUUGGGUAGUUUUGGGGUUUUUUUGAGGGGGGAGAUUGGGUGGAUGUGUUGGCAUGUGAGUAGUGACCUUUCUGGCAGGGCCCAAUAGAGUAAGAAUUGCUUCUUAGGAUCUUUUCAGCCCAUUUUGGGC